Molecule: ribosomal RNA, 466 nt
Filed under: uncultured bacterium
Lineage: Bacteria
Description: partial 16S ribosomal RNA
Rfam family: Bacterial small subunit ribosomal RNA
Source: RNAcentral
GAUGAACGCUGGCGGCGUGCUUAACACAUGCCAGUCGAACGGAAAGGCCGAAGCUUGCUUCGGUACUCGAGUGGCGAACGGGUGAGUAACACGUGGGUGAUCUGCCCUGUACUUCGGGAUAAGCUUGGGAAACUGGGUCUAAUACCGGAUAUGACAAUCUCUUGGAUGGGGUUGUGGAAAGCUUUUGCGGUAUGGGAUGAGCUCGCGGCCUAUCAGCUUGUUGGUGGGGUAAUGGCCUACCAAGGCGUCGACGGGUAGCCGGCCUGAGAGGGUGUACGGCCACAUUGGGACUGAGAUACGGCCCAGACUCCUACGGGAGGCAGCAGUGGGGAAUAUUGCACAAUGGGCGCAAGCCUGAUGCAGCGACGCCGCGUGGGGGAUGACGGCCUUCGGGUUGUAAACUCCUUUCGCAACCGACGAAGCUUUUGUGACGGUAGGUUGAGAAGAAGCACCGGCUAACUACGUG